This 453-nucleotide ribosomal RNA is filed under the name uncultured Paraprevotella sp. RNAcentral describes it as "partial 16S ribosomal RNA". It matches the Rfam family "Bacterial small subunit ribosomal RNA", at positions 341 to 792 of the family's 1533-position model. Lineage: Bacteria; Pseudomonadati; Bacteroidota; Bacteroidia; Bacteroidales; Prevotellaceae. The record is from RNAcentral.
ACGGGAGGCAGCAGUGAGGAAUAUUGGUCAAUGGGCGAGAGCCUGAACCAGCCAAGUAGCGUGAAGGACGACGGCCCUACGGGUUGUAAACCUCUUUUGUUCGGGAAUAAAGUGCGGGACGUGUCCCGCUUUGCAUGUACCGUUCGAAUAAGCAUCGGCUAAUUCCGUGCCAGCAGCCGCGGUAAUACGGAAGAUGCGAGCGUUAUCCGGAUCUAUUGGGUUUAAAGGGAGCGUAGGCGGCCUUUUAAGUCAGCGGUCAAAUGUCAGCGCCCAACGCUGGCCUGCCGUUGAUACUGAUGGGCUUGAAUACACACAAGGAAGGUGGAAUUCGUCGUGUAGCGGUGAAAUGCUUAGAUAUGACGAAGAACUCCGAUUGCGAAGGCAGCCUUCUGGAGUGCGAUUGACGCUGAGGCUCGAAAGCGUGGGUAUCGAACAGGAUUAGAUACCCUGGUA